Long non-coding RNA from Triticum aestivum (bread wheat), 563 nucleotides. RefSeq lists it as uncharacterized. Lineage: Eukaryota; Viridiplantae; Streptophyta; Magnoliopsida; Poales; Poaceae. The record is from RefSeq and is a predicted model, not a curated record. The transcript has 3 exons.
UCUCUUAUGUGUUUCUUUUUGUCCAUUUGAAUGCACUCCAUUUUUUAGUGUAUUAAUUAACAUCAAACCUCCCAUUCUUUCUAGAGUGCUGAUGUAUUAUUAUUUUCAGCUUAACACAUUUAACUUCCUAUAGAUUUCAUGGUUUAUGCAGAUUAACCGAGCUAAGAAUUUUUGUGAAGCUAAAGCUGGUGUUAAGAUGAACGCCGCUAUGUAUAUAUUUGAAACAGUUAGAUACAUGCUUGACAGACUAUAUAGGGGUGAUCAAAACCAUGCAAAGCAUUAUGGGACAAGUUUCUCUACCUUAAAUAAGUAUAUGAACUUCAAAUUAUCCUGCAAUGUAUUGACUGCUCGGAGCUAACUUGACUACGCCAGUUUUCUUUUAUGGCUCAAAGUAGUUAGUGUCCCCCCUUAUUAUGAGAGAGGUUCUAUGGCAGUGGAGUAAUGUUCGUAAAUUAUAUAUUGCUUUCAAGUUUGGAGCUGGAAUAAUAUAUGUGCUGCAUUUAGUUAUAGUCUUAUAGAUAUACAUGAACAUCCAUUGUAUAUUUCUUGCAAGACAUGAUAAC